Molecule: ribosomal RNA, 449 nt
Filed under: uncultured bacterium
Lineage: Bacteria
Description: partial 16S ribosomal RNA
Rfam family: Bacterial small subunit ribosomal RNA
Source: RNAcentral
AACGAACGCUGGCGGCACGCUUAACUCAUGCAAGUCGAACGAGACCUUCGGGUCUAGUGGCGCACGGGUGCGUAACGCGUGGGAAUCUGCCCUUUGCUACGGAAUAACUCAGAGAAAUUUGUGCUAAUACCGUAUAAUGUCUACGGACCAAAGAUUUAUCGGCAAAGGAUGAGCCCGCGUAAGAUUAGCUUGUUGGUGGGGUAAAGGCCUACCAAGGCGACGAUCUUUAGCUGGUCUGAGAGGAUGAUCAGCCACACUGGGACUGAGACACGGCCCAGACUCCUACGGGAGGCAGCAGUGGGGAAUAUUGGACAAUGGGCGAAAGCCUGAUCCAGCAAUGCCGCGUGAGUGAUGAAGGCCUUAGGGUUGUAAAGCUCUUUUACCAGGGAUGAUAAUGACAGUACCUGGAGAAUAAGCUCCGGCUAACUUCGUGCCAGCAGCCGCCGUAA